This 253-nucleotide ribosomal RNA is filed under the name uncultured bacterium. RNAcentral's name for it is "partial 16S ribosomal RNA". It matches the Rfam family "Bacterial small subunit ribosomal RNA", at positions 524 to 776 of the family's 1533-position model. The record is from RNAcentral.
UACGUAGGGUGCAAGCGUUAAUCGGAAUUACUGGGCGUAAAGCGUGCGCAGGCGGUUUGGUAAGACAGAUGUGAAAUCCCUGGGCUCAACCUAGGAAUUGCAUUUGUGACUGCCCGGCUAGAGUGUGUCAGAGGGGGGUAGAAUUCCACGUGUAGCAGUGAAAUGCGUAGAGAUGUGGAGGAAUACCGAUGGCGAAGGCAGCCCCCUGGGAUGAUACUGACGCUCAUGCACGAAAGCGUGGGGAGCAAACAGG